This is a non-coding RNA of Theobroma cacao (cacao), 135 nucleotides long. NCBI's taxonomy places the organism in Eukaryota, Viridiplantae, Streptophyta, Magnoliopsida, Malvales, Malvaceae. The record is from RefSeq and is a predicted model, not a curated record.
UAUCUGAUACGGGUAAAAGACUACACCCGAGGACCGAGAAUAGGAGUAUAUCUACUCCUAGUACAGCUUAGAAUAGGCAGUAGACUGUCAAUUGCAUCGAGAAGUAAAUUUCAGAGUUGCAUCCUAGAAAGCAAG